GUGCCAGCCGCCGCGGUAAUACGGAGGGGGUUAGCGUUGUUCGGAAUUACUGGGCGUAAAGCGCGCGUAGGCGGACUGUUAAGUCGGGGGUGAAAUCCCGGGGCUCAACCCCGGAACUGCCCUCGAUACUGGCAGUCUUGAGUUCGAGAGAGGUGAGUGGAAUUCCGAGUGUAGAGGUGAAAUUCGUAGAUAUUCGGAGGAACACCAGUGGCGAAGGCGGCUCACUGGCACGAUACUGACGCUGAGGUGCGAAAGUGUGGGGAGCAAACAGGAUUAGAAACCCUAGUAGUC
This 291-nucleotide ribosomal RNA is filed under the name uncultured bacterium. RNAcentral's name for it is "partial 16S ribosomal RNA". It matches the Rfam family "Bacterial small subunit ribosomal RNA", at positions 505 to 795 of the family's 1533-position model. The record is from RNAcentral.